RNAcentral lists this ribosomal RNA (205 nucleotides) under uncultured bacterium. RNAcentral describes it as "partial 16S ribosomal RNA". It matches the Rfam family "Bacterial small subunit ribosomal RNA", at positions 568 to 773 of the family's 1533-position model. The record is from RNAcentral.
UGCGUAGGCGGCGUGGCAAGUUGGGUGUGAAAUCCCUCGGCUCAACCGAGGAACUGCGCUCAAUACUGCCAUGCUCGAGGGAGACAGAGGUGAGCGGAACUUAGGGUGGAGCGGUGAAAUGCGUUGAUAUCCUAAGGAACACCGGUAGCGAAAGCGGCUCACUGGGUCUUUUCUGACGCUGAGGCACGAAAGCUAGGUAGCAACG